RNAcentral lists this ribosomal RNA (560 nucleotides) under Clostridioides difficile. RNAcentral's name for it is "bacterial LSU rRNA". It matches the Rfam family "Bacterial large subunit ribosomal RNA", at positions 1 to 564 of the family's 2925-position model. The record is from RNAcentral. Lineage: Bacteria; Bacillati; Bacillota; Clostridia; Peptostreptococcales; Peptostreptococcaceae.
UGGUCAAGUUAUUAAGGGUGCAGGGCGGAUGCCUUGGCACUAGGAGCCGAUGAAGGACGUGAUAAGCUGCGAUAAGCUUCGGGGAGUUGCACGUAAACUUUGAUCCGAAGAUUUCCGAAUGAGGAAACUCACUUAGAGUAAUGUCUAAGUAUCAUUAAGUGAAUACAUAGCUUAAUGAGGGGAACUCAGGGAACUGAAACAUCUAAGUACCUGAAGGAAGAGAAAGAAAUUCGAUUCCGUAAGUAGCGGCGAGCGAACGCGGAUUAGCCCAAACCAAUAAAGUUUUCUUUAUUGGGGUUGCGGACAUAUCAUAACGAAGAGGUAUCGUAAUUGAAGAGGUUUGGAAAGACCCACCACAGAAGGUAAUAGUCCUGUAUGUUAAACGAGAAGACUUUAGAUAUGAUCCAGAGUACCACGGGACACGUGAAACCCGGUGGGAAGCAGGAGGGACCACCCUCCAAGGCUAAAUACUACCUAGUGACCGAUAGCGUAUAGUACCGUGAGGGAAAGGUGAAAAGAACCCCGGGAGGGGAGUGAAAUAGAACCUGAAACCCUGCACU